Long non-coding RNA from Orbicella faveolata, 721 nucleotides. The record is from RefSeq and is a predicted model, not a curated record. Lineage: Eukaryota; Metazoa; Cnidaria; Anthozoa; Scleractinia; Merulinidae.
UCAGUCCGCCGCUAUUAAGAUCUUGCAACAAAAACUUUCUGGCGUUUCUUUCCCUGCUGAAAUGGUUCAAGUGCUGUUUACAUCUGUGUACUAUCUGUUGAUGUUGAUGCUAUUGAUUCUCGGCGUUAUGGCUUUUCUUGUACGACUUUACUCGUACGGAACAACCCGAAAUCUUGAACCGGACAGAAGGACACUACCAAAACAAGAAAAAUCGUGUUCAAAUUGAAACGAGUUUCUUAAACUUCUCUGGUUUGUCUUCUCUCUUGGGCUUCUGCUAGCUCUCAAAGACACAUCUGAAAACAUUCCAAUCGAAGACGAAGUUGCCCAGAAGCAAAGUGUCCCUGAGAUUAAUUCAGAACUGCAUGACAAGAAAGACCUAAACGCUUGUCUCGUUCCUUUGGCGGAGAGGAGCAGUGAAACAAAGGCCGGACCUGGUAUUCCUGAGCGGCAACCUCCCUCAAGGCCAAAAGUGGCAACUCAGGCAGUUAUCUCACCGCUAACGCUGUUUUUGCUGGGAACUGAUACCGUCCACACCUAUGACCCCGUAUACGAGAAAAAGUUGCAGGGAAAACGUAAACGGUGGUUCAACAAGGCCUUAAAAAUGGGCAGAAGGCCGUAUGUAUGUUUUAAAUAAAGAAAAAAAAAUGUAUGUACAUACUUUGUAUCGGAUUUUCACCCAUGUAUUUCCUCGCUGCAUGCAUUUUGUCAUCCACUCUUGAUU